Molecule: ribosomal RNA, 468 nt
Filed under: uncultured bacterium
Lineage: Bacteria
Description: partial 16S ribosomal RNA
Rfam family: Bacterial small subunit ribosomal RNA
Source: RNAcentral
GACGAACGCUGGCGGCGUGCUUAACACAUGCAAGUCGAACGGAAAGGCCCUGCUUUUGUGGGGUGCUCGAGUGGCGAACGGGUGAGUAACACGUGAGUAACCUGCCCUUGACUUUGGGAUAACUUCAGGAAACUGGGGCAAAAACCGGAUAGAAGCUCCUGCGGCAUGGGGGGGGUUGGAAAGUUUCGGCGGUUGGGGAUGGACUCGCGGCUUAUCAGCUUGUUGGUGGGGUAGUGGCUUACCAAGGCUUUGACGGGUAGCCGGCCUGAGAGGGUGACCGGCCACAUUGGGACUGAGAUACGGCCCAGACUCCUACGGGAGGCAGCAGUGGGGAAUAUUGCACAAUGGGCGGAAGCCUGAUGCAGCAACGCCGCGUGCGGGAUGACGGCCUUCGGGUUGUAAACCGCUUUCGCCUGUGACGAAGCGUGAGUGACGGUAAUGGGUAAAGAAGCACCGGCUAACUACGUG